This 2170-nucleotide long non-coding RNA is filed under the name Homo sapiens (human). RNAcentral's name for it is "HSALNT0402928". The record is from RNAcentral. Lineage: Eukaryota; Metazoa; Chordata; Mammalia; Primates; Hominidae.
AAGAGCCCUGAGAGAGAUCCCUUGGCCCUUCCACCAUGUGAGUAUACAGAGAGAAGGUAUGAUCCAUGGAUCAGGAAACCAGCCUUCCCUAGACAUGGAAUCUGCUGGCACCUUGAUUUUGAACUUCCCAGACUCCAGAACUACUCCUGCCCCUGCCACGAGAACACACCCUUUCCAGUUUGCUGGAGAAAUAUAAGAGAAGUCCAGUGAAAGAGAGCUGAGUUUCCCCAAUGAUGCCAUCAAGAUGAACUAACUACAGUUAACCAGCCAGCUGAUAGCAGAUGCAUGAGUGAGCCCAGCUGAGAGCAGGUUGUGCAAGCAUGGCACGUGCAUCUGUUUGGCUUGUGGUGAGGCCUCAGGAAGCUUACAGUCAUGGUGGAAGGCAAAGAGGGAGCCAGUACAUCACGUGAACUCGUAGAGUGAGAACUCAUUCACUACCAUGAAGACAACACCAAGCCAUUCCUGAGGUAUCAGCUCCCAUGACCUGAACAUCUCCCACUAGGCCCACCUCCAACACUGGGGGUCAAACUUCAACAUGAAAUUUGGAGGGGACAAACAUCCACGUCAUAUCAGAUAUCAUUAUUUAACCUACCAUAUCCUUGGAAUUAGGGGUUGAUGUGUUACUGCAGCAUAGUUUAAUGUAUGCUGAGGAAUAUGGAAGCCAUAGUAAGUUAAUACUAAAAUCUCACUGGACAUUAACUAUAGAAGUAUGCCCAAGGUAACUAUUUAGUAGACAUAAUCAGCCUCAACUUUUUGUUGUCUUCAUGAGGUUGCAAAUUAUAGAACUUGCUUAUGAAAGUUAAUACAAAAUGCACAAAACUGAGAAUUGUCUGUCACCCUCUGGUUUCUGGUUUCUAGGAUUUCCAGGCAAGAUAAACACCAAAUGACACCAAAAUAUGAUCUAUUCCUAUUUGGGUAUUUAUAUAUCACACAUUACAUGUGAUGAAGUUACAACAUAACUUAGGAUAUUAGGUAUAAGAUCUGAAACAAGUGAAAAUAUCUUUCUAAAGUAUAUCUAAUGACAGCAAUAAUCACAUUUUAUUUAUCAGAUUGUUUUCUAUCUGGACAAAAACACUUAAUCUAUUGAUAAUACCUUAUGUGGCAUUACAUAGCAUAAUUACAUAAUGUAAUUACAUAUGUUCAGCUGUAUUAUUUUAUGUUCUACUAGGUGGAAUCUUAUGGAAGUUUUCAUUUAAAAAAGCAAUUAUUUUUGUGUAUAUGUCUAUAUAAGACAUAAGCAGAUCAAGACAGACGAUUAGGAUAUACGCAGCAAGACUACAAUAAAAUUUUGUGGGUUUCAGUAUUAUCUCACAUAUGAGAAGAAGCUAAUGGGUAUGGAGCUUGUGCUAAUAUUUUAUUAUUUCAACUCUAGAAGAUCAUGUACUCAACCACUGAUUUAUUCAUGAAUCUAUCUAUUUAUCCUUUCAACAUUCCUUCACUAUCGACUAGGAUGAUACUGUAGUUCAUCAAUAAGAAUAUAUAGGUUUUGGAGAGAGAUUGACACCUAAAUUUCAAACUCAGCUUCACCACUUACUAACUGUGUUGAGCUAGGUAAACACAGCCUCUCUGCCCCUUAGUCAGAUGUAAGCAUGAUAAUAAUGUUUACAGUUAAGGAUUAUUGUGAAAAUUAGUGAUAAUGUACAUCAAACACUUGGUGUGCUGUAACCAUUCAACAGAUGAUAAUGGAGACUCUGGUUGUUAUUUGCCAGAAAUCAGGAUGCGAAGAUGGAAAACACAUAACUCCUCCCUCUAAAUAACUGAAGUGGAAGCAAAUGACUACAGUGUAGAUUAGAGUUACCAAUAAGCUAUGGAUCAGAGAGAAGAGAAUGAUUUAGUUUUUGGGAGAGUCAUAAAAGGUCUGCAUGAUAGAUGACUUUUGAGAUGGCUUAGAAGGAGUGAAUUGGGUGUCUGAAAGAGGAGACAUUUUAAUUAGGAGCAAUAUGUGUAGUUAUACGACAUAUUAAAGGAGAGAGAGAAUAAAAGAAAUCUUAAGUAAUUUGGUUUAUCUAGAGCACAAGGCUUUUCAAAACUCACUUUUCGGGUUUCUCAAAGAACUUAACACAGAUCUACCAUUGACCUGGCAAUCCGAUUUCCGGUAUAUACCCAAAGGAAUAUAACUCGCUCUAACAGAAAGACACAUGCACCCAUAUGUUCAUGCCAGCACUAUUCA